This is a long non-coding RNA of Mytilus trossulus (common blue mussel), 436 nucleotides long. RefSeq lists it as uncharacterized. Lineage: Eukaryota; Metazoa; Mollusca; Bivalvia; Mytilida; Mytilidae. The transcript has 3 exons. The record is from RefSeq and is a predicted model, not a curated record.
UUGAUAAACAUCCGGUUCUUACAAAACACGUUGGUUUGUUCUGAUUUUAUAACCUUGAUUCAAUUUUUAAUAAUUUUACAUCAUAAUGCCGAAAGAAGAAGAGAAAAAGACAGAGCAGAAAUUAAAACCCUGUUGUGCUUGUCCAGAGACGAAAAAAGCUCGUGAUGAAUGCGUCAUUGAAAAAGGAGAAGAAAACUGUAAAUCUUUAAUAGAAGCUCACAAGGAAUGUAUGAGAAAACUGGGAUUUAAAAUUUGACAGUUAUUGUAUACUACACAAUAUGAAUGCAGCAUGUGAUUUGGAAGCCUUUGUAAAUCCUGGAGUGAAAAAGAUGAGUGUAUGCAUGAACCUUUUGUUAGCAAAUCGUGAACAUAUUGUACAAAUGUACAUAGAUUUCAUUGUUAUUUAUAAAGAUCUUUUUUCAUAAAAGAAAAUGAG